GACGAACGCUGGCGGCGUGCUUAACACAUGCAAGUCGAACGGAAAGGCCUGCUUUCCCUUGUGGAUUGCGGGUACUCGAGUGGCGAACGGGUGAGUAACACGUGAGUGAUCUGCCCCCAACUUGGGUAUAAGCCUGGGAAACUGGGUCUAAUUCUCGAUAGGACUGCAGGGUGGUGCCUGUGGUGGAAAACGAUUUUCUAGUGGUUGGGGAUGAGCUCGCGGCCUAUCAGCUUGUUGGUGGGGUAAUGGCCUACCAAGGCGGCGACGGGUAGCCGGCCUGAGAGGGUGGACGGCCACAUUGGGACUGAGAUACGGCCCAGACUCCUACGGGAGGCAGCAGUGGGGAAUAUUGCACAAUGGGCGGAAGCCUGAUGCAGCGACGCCGCGUGGGGGAUGACGGCCUUCGGGUUGUAAACUCCUUUCGACCGCGAGGAAGCCACCUGGUUGGAAGGGUGGUGACGGUAGUGGUAGAAGAAGCACCGGCUAACUACGUG
Molecule: ribosomal RNA, 494 nt
Filed under: uncultured bacterium
Lineage: Bacteria
Description: partial 16S ribosomal RNA
Rfam family: Bacterial small subunit ribosomal RNA
Source: RNAcentral